RNAcentral lists this ribosomal RNA (2908 nucleotides) under Yersinia rohdei. RNAcentral's name for it is "bacterial LSU rRNA". It matches the Rfam family "Bacterial large subunit ribosomal RNA". The record is from RNAcentral. Lineage: Bacteria; Pseudomonadati; Pseudomonadota; Gammaproteobacteria; Enterobacterales; Yersiniaceae.
UUAAGCGACUAAGCGUACACGGUGGAUGCCUAGGCAGUCAGAGGCGAUGAAGGGCGUGCUAAUCUGCGAUAAGCGUCGGUAAGCUGAUAUGAAGCGUUACAACCGACGAUACCCGAAUGGGGAAACCCAGUGCAAUUCGUUGCACUAUUGCAUGGUGAAUACAUAGCCAUGCAAGGCGAACCGGGGGAACUGAAACAUCUAAGUACCCCGAGGAAAAGAAAUCAACCGAGAUUCCCCUAGUAGCGGCGAGCGAACGGGGAAGAGCCCAGAGUCUGAAUCAGUUUGUGUGUUAGUGGAAGCGUCUGGAAAGUCGCAGGGUACAGGGUGAUACUCCCGUACACAAAAACACACUUGCUGUGAACUCGAUGAGUAGGGCGGGACACGUGACAUCCUGUCUGAAUAUGGGGGGACCAUCCUCCAAGGCUAAAUACUCCUGACUGACCGAUAGUGAACCAGUACCGUGAGGGAAAGGCGAAAAGAACCCCGGCGAGGGGAGUGAAAUAGAACCUGAAACCGUGUACGUACAAGCAGUGGGAGCCUUGAUUUAUCAGGGUGACUGCGUACCUUUUGUAUAAUGGGUCAGCGACUUAUAUUUUGUAGCAAGGUUAACCGAAUAGGGGAGCCGUAGGGAAACCGAGUCUUAACUGGGCGUCUAGUUGCAAGGUAUAGACCCGAAACCCGGUGAUCUAGCCAUGGGCAGGUUGAAGGUUGGGUAACACUAACUGGAGGACCGAACCGACUAAUGUUGAAAAAUUAGCGGAUGACUUGUGGCUGGGGGUGAAAGGCCAAUCAAACCGGGAGAUAGCUGGUUCUCCCCGAAAGCUAUUUAGGUAGCGCCUCGUGAACUCAUCUUCGGGGGUAGAGCACUGUUUCGGCUAGGGGGUCAUCCCGACUUACCAAACCGAUGCAAACUCCGAAUACCGAAGAAUGUUAUCACGGGAGACACACGGCGGGUGCUAACGUCCGUCGUGAAGAGGGAAACAACCCAGACCGCCAGCUAAGGUCCCAAAGUCAUGGUUAAGUGGGAAACGAUGUGGGAAGGCAUAGACAGCCAGGAUGUUGGCUUAGAAGCAGCCAUCAUUUAAAGAAAGCGUAAUAGCUCACUGGUCGAGUCGGCCUGCGCGGAAGAUGUAACGGGGCUAAACCAUGCACCGAAGCUGCGGCAGCGACGCUUAGGCGUUGUUGGGUAGGGGAGCGUUCUGUAAGCCGUUGAAGGUGACCUGUGAGGGUUGCUGGAGGUAUCAGAAGUGCGAAUGCUGACAUAAGUAACGAUAAUGCGGGUGAAAAACCCGCACGCCGGAAGACCAAGGGUUCCUGUCCAACGUUAAUCGGGGCAGGGUGAGUCGACCCCUAAGGCGAGGCUGAAAAGCGUAGUCGAUGGGAAACAGGUUAAUAUUCCUGUACUUGGUGUUACUGCGAAGGGGGGACGGAGAAGGCUAGGCUAGCCGGGCGACGGUUGUCCCGGUUUAAGCAUGUAGGCGGAGCGACUUGGUAAAUCCGGUUGCUUAUCAACGCUGAGGUGUGAUGACGAGCCACUACGGUGGUGAAGUAGUUGAUGCCAAGCUUCCAGGAAAAGCCUCUAAGCAUCAGGUAACAUUAAAUCGUACCCCAAACCGACACAGGUGGUCAGGUAGAGAAUACUCAGGCGCUUGAGAGAACUCGGGUGAAGGAACUAGGCAAAAUGGUGCCGUAACUUCGGGAGAAGGCACGCUGGCAUUAGGUAAUGGGACUUGCUCCCGGCGCCGAAGCCAGUCGCAGAUACCAGCUGGCUGCAACUGUUUAAUAAAAACACAGCACUGUGCAAACACGAAAGUGGACGUAUACGGUGUGACGCCUGCCCGGUGCUGGAAGGUUAAUUGAUGGGGUCAGCCGCAAGGCGAAGCUCUUGAUCGAAGCCCCAGUAAACGGCGGCCGUAACUAUAACGGUCCUAAGGUAGCGAAAUUCCUUGUCGGGUAAGUUCCGACCUGCACGAAUGGCGUAAUGAUGGCCAGGCUGUCUCCACCCGAGACUCAGUGAAAUUGAACUCGCUGUGAAGAUGCAGUGUACCCGCGGCAAGACGGAAAGACCCCGUGAACCUUUACUAUAGCUUGACACUGAACAUUGAGCCUUGAUGUGUAGGAUAGGUGGGAGGCAUCGAAGUGUGGACGCCAGUCUGCAUGGAGCCAACCUUGAAAUACCACCCUUUAAUGUUUGAUGUUCUAACUCGGCCCCAUAAUCUGGGGUGAGGACAGUGUCUGGUGGGUAGUUUGACUGGGGCGGUCUCCUCCCAAAGAGUAACGGAGGAGCACGAAGGUUAGCUAAUCACGGUCGGACAUCGUGAGGUUAGUGCAAAGGCAUAAGCUAGCUUGACUGCGAGAGUGACGGCUCGAGCAGGUACGAAAGUAGGUCUUAGUGAUCCGGUGGUUCUGAAUGGAAGGGCCAUCGCUCAACGGAUAAAAGGUACUCCGGGGAUAACAGGCUGAUACCGCCCAAGAGUUCAUAUCGACGGCGGUGUUUGGCACCUCGAUGUCGGCUCAUCACAUCCUGGGGCUGAAGUAGGUCCCAAGGGUAUGGCUGUUCGCCAUUUAAAGUGGUACGCGAGCUGGGUUUAGAACGUCGUGAGACAGUUCGGUCCCUAUCUGCCGUGGGCGUUGGAAGAUUGAGAGGGGCUGCUCCUAGUACGAGAGGACCGGAGUGGACGAAUCACUGGUGUUCGGGUUGUCAUGCCAAUGGCAUUGCCCGGUAGCUAAAUUCGGAAGAGAUAACCGCUGAAAGCAUCUAAGCGGGAAACUUGCCUCGAGAUGAGUCUUCCCUGGGGCUUUAAGCCCCCUGAAGGAACGUUAAAGACUAUGACGUUGAUAGGCUGGGUGUGUAAGUGCAGCGAUGCAUUGAGCUAACCAGUACUAAUGAUCCGUGAGGCUUAACCUU